AGUUGGUCUGAGGGUUAUUGGUUAUUGUUUAGCUGAUUAACUAAUGUUAAUGUCUCACCUCCCCACCAAGCUCCAAAAUCCACACCUCACCAGCUUAAA
Molecule: small RNA, 99 nt
Filed under: Microcebus murinus (gray mouse lemur)
Lineage: Eukaryota; Metazoa; Chordata; Mammalia; Primates; Cheirogaleidae
Description: Y RNA (ENSMICG00000025675.3)
Source: RNAcentral